AUGGCUUUGGCGAGCCCACCUACAAAGGACUUCUGGCCUUCAGACAUCCUAUUUUCAAAGAACAGUAAUAUUAGGUGAUGUCUUCCACCAUGUUGUGAUGUAGGACAAAGCUCACCCUUGCCAAGCAGAUACCGGCACCAUGUUCUGGGGCAUGAUCUCAGCUUUGGCUGUUUCAAAUUGACUUAUGUUGGAAGGCACGAUGGCCAAGGCUGGCCUAGGAACCAGAAGCCUUGAAGCGAUAGAGAUGUCUGGAUGCAGAAUAUAAAGUCACUGCUGGAUCUACAGAGCUGAGGAAGGAAUUUCUGAAACAAUGGACUGCCCAAAUCUGAGGCCAGGAAGUAGCAGAUGUUUCCUGUGAGCUGCAGAGGACACAAUGUUGAAGUACAGACAGACGUCUCAUACAGACCCUUUCAGCAUAGCAAUGGCUAGAAAGCAUGAGCUCUGGAAUCAGAAAGGAUCCACAUCUUAAAGGUUUCAUCACCUCUCAUAGCAUCAUGGGCUGGAGGCAAAGAAUUCAACACAAGAGCAUUUGGAGAGCUUUCAAGAUUCAAACUAUAGUAUGGCUAGCAGCUGGUGGGAAAGAUGGGCUCCAAAGAUAAAAGUGCGUACUUUAACUUGUGA
Fukomys damarensis (Damara mole-rat) is the source of this 621-nucleotide long non-coding RNA. RefSeq lists it as uncharacterized. NCBI's taxonomy places the organism in Eukaryota, Metazoa, Chordata, Mammalia, Rodentia, Bathyergidae. The record is from RefSeq and is a predicted model, not a curated record. The transcript is spliced from 5 exons.